GCGGUCGUGGCGGAAUUGGCAGACGCGCAAGAUUCAGGUUCUUGUGUCCAAUAUGGACGUGGAGGUUCGACUCCUCUCGACCGCA
This 85-nucleotide transfer RNA is filed under the name Planctomycetaceae bacterium. RNAcentral's name for it is "tRNA-Leu". It matches the Rfam family "tRNA". Rfam says of the family: Transfer RNA (tRNA) molecules are approximately 80 nucleotides in length. Their secondary structure includes four short double-helical elements and three loops (D, anti-codon, and T loops). The record is from RNAcentral. Lineage: Bacteria; Pseudomonadati; Planctomycetota; Planctomycetia; Planctomycetales; Planctomycetaceae.